AGAGUUUGAUCCUGGCUCAGGACGAACGCUGGCGGCGUGCCUAAUACAUGCAAGUCGAGCGAGCUUGCCUAGAUGAUUUUAGUGCUUGCACUAAAUGAAACUAGAUACAAGCGAGCGGCGGACAGGUGAGUAACACGUGGGUAACCUGCCCAAGAGACUGGGAUAACACCUGGAAACAGAUGCUAAUACCGGAUAACAACACUAGACGCAUGUCUAGAGUUUGAAAGAUGGUUCUGCUAUCACUCUUGGAUGGACCUGCGGUGCAUUAGCUAGUUGGUAAGGUAACGGCUUACCAAGGCAAUGAUGCAUAGCCGAGUUGAGAGACUGAUCGGCCACAUUGGGACUGAAACACGGCCCAAACUCCUACGGGAGGCAGCAGUAGGGAAUCUUCCACAAUGGACGAAAGUCUGAUGGAGCAACGCCGCGUGAGUGAAGAAGGGUUUCGGCUCGUAAAGCUCUGUUGGUAGUGAAGAAAGAUAGAGGUAGUAACUGGCCUUUAUUUGACGGUAAUUACUUAGAAAGUCACGGCUAACUACGUGCCAGCAGCCGCGGUAAUACGUAGGUGGCAAGCGUUGUCCGG
RNAcentral lists this ribosomal RNA (580 nucleotides) under uncultured bacterium. Its description in RNAcentral is "bacterial SSU rRNA". It matches the Rfam family "Bacterial small subunit ribosomal RNA", at positions 8 to 548 of the family's 1533-position model. The record is from RNAcentral.